Molecule: ribosomal RNA, 468 nt
Filed under: uncultured bacterium
Lineage: Bacteria
Description: partial 16S ribosomal RNA
Rfam family: Bacterial small subunit ribosomal RNA
Source: RNAcentral
GACGAACGCUGGCGGCGUGCUUAACACAUGCAAGUCGAACGGAAAGGCCCUGCUUUUGUGGGGUGCUCGAGUGGCGAACGGGUGAGUAACACGUGAGUAACCUGCCCUUGACUUUGGUAUAACUUCAGGAAACUGGGGCUAAUACCGGAUCGGAGCUCCUGCUGCAUGGUGGGGGUUGGAAAUUUUAGGCGGUUGGGGAUGGACUCGCGGCUUAUCAGCUUGUUGGUGGGGUAGUGGCUUACCAAGGCUUUGACGGGUAGCCGGCCUGAGAGGGUGACCGGCCACAUGGGGACUGAGAGACGGACCAGACUCGUACGGGAGGCAGCAGUGGGGAAUAUUGCACAAUGGGAGGAAGCCUGAUGCAGAAGCGCCGCGUGCGGGAUGACGGCCUUCGGGUUGUAAAAAGCUUUCGCCUGUGACGAAGCGUGAGUGACGGUAAUGGGUAAAGAAGCACCGGCUAACUACGUG